This 1350-nucleotide ribosomal RNA is filed under the name uncultured bacterium. Its description in RNAcentral is "16S ribosomal RNA". It matches the Rfam family "Bacterial small subunit ribosomal RNA", at positions 33 to 1381 of the family's 1533-position model. The record is from RNAcentral.
ACGCUGGCGGCAGGCUUAACACAUGCAAGUCGAACGAUGACUCUCUAGCUUGCUAGAGAAGAUUAGUGGCGGACGGGUGAGUAACAUUUAGGAAUCUGCCUAGUAGUGGGGGAUAGCUCGGGGAAACUCGAAUUAAUACCGCAUACGACCUACGGGUGAAAGGGGGCGCAAGCUCUUGCUAUUAGAUGAGCCUAAAUCAGAUUAGCUAGUUGGUGGGGUAAAGGCCUACCAAGGCGACGAUCUGUAACUGGUCUGAGAGGAUGAUCAGUCACACCGGGACUGAGACACGGUCCGGACUCCUACGGGAGGCAGCAGUGGGGAAUAUUGGACAAUGGGGGCAACCCUGAUCCAGCCAUGCCGCGUGUGUGAAGAAGGCCUUUUGGUUGUAAAGCACUUUAAGCAGGGAGGAGAGGCUAAUGGUUAAUACCCAUUAGAUUAGACGUUACCUGCAGAAUAAGCACCGGCUAACUCUGUGCCAGCAGCCGCGGUAAUACAGAGGGUGCGAGCGUUAAUCGGAAUUACUGGGCGUAAAGCGAGUGUAGGUGGCUCAUUAAGUCACAUGUGAAAUCCCCGGGCUUAACCUGGGAACUGCAUGUGAUACUGGUGGUGCUAGAAUAUGUGAGAGGGAAGUAGAAUUCCAGGUGUAGCGGUGAAGUGCGUAGAGAUCUGGAGGAAUACCGAUGGCGAAGGCAGCUUCCUGGCAUAAUAUUGACACUGAGAUUCGAAAGCGUGGGUAGCAAACAGGAUUAGAUACCCUGGUAGUCCACGCCGUAAACGAUGUCUACUAGCCGUUGGGGUCCUUGAGACUUUAGUGGCGCAGUUAACGCGAUAAGUAGACCGCCUGGGGAGUACGGCCGCAGGGUUAAAACUCAAAUGAAUUGACGGGGGCCCGCACAAGCGGUGGAGCAUGUGGUUUAAUUCGAUGCAACGCGAAGAACCUUACCUGGUCUUGACAUAGUGAGAAUCUUUCAGAGAUGAGAGAGUGCCUUUGGGAACUCACAUACAGGUGCUGCAUGGCUGUCGUCAGCUCGUGUCGUGAGAUGUUGGGUUAAGUCCCGCAACGAGCGCAACCCUUUUCCUUAUUUGCCAGCGGGUUAAGCCGGGAACUUUAAGGAUACUGCCAGUGACAAACUGGAGGAAGGCGGGGACGACGUCAAGUCAUCAUGGCCCUUACGACCAGGGCUACACACGUGCUACAAUGGUAGGUACAGAGGGUUGCUACACAGCGAUGUGAUGCUAAUCUCAAAAAGCCUAUCGUAGUCCGGAUUGGAGUCUGCAACUCGACUCCAUGAAGUCGGAAUCGCUAGUAAUCGCGGAUCAGAAUGCCGCGGUGAAUACGUUCCCGGGCCU